This 45-nucleotide non-coding RNA is filed under the name Trichobilharzia regenti. Lineage: Eukaryota; Metazoa; Platyhelminthes; Trematoda; Strigeidida; Schistosomatidae. The record is from RNAcentral.
AUGUAGGUGACGAGUCCCAAAUAGGACGAAACGCGCAUCCUGGAU